GGGCUAGCGUUGCUCGGAAUCACUGGGCGUAAAGCGCACGUAGGCGGAUUGCUAAGUCAGGGGUGAAAUCCUGGAGCUCAACUCCAGAACUGCCUUUGAUACUGGCGAUCUUGAGUCCGGGAGAGGUGAGUGGAACUGCGAGUGUAGAGGUGAAAUUCGUAGAUAUUCGCAAGAACACCAGUGGCGAAGGCGGCUCACUGGCCCGAUACUGACGCUGAGGCACGAAAGCGUGGGGAGCAAACAGG
This 245-nucleotide ribosomal RNA is filed under the name uncultured bacterium. Its description in RNAcentral is "partial 16S ribosomal RNA". It matches the Rfam family "Bacterial small subunit ribosomal RNA", at positions 532 to 776 of the family's 1533-position model. The record is from RNAcentral.